ACUGACUGACUGACUGGUUGACUUGUCACCUUGAAAUUUGAAAAACAAAGAUUGGAGGCUGUGCGGCUGGAGUGAUCACAAAAUGCGAGAGCUGAUGAGUCUGACAAACAAAAAUAACUCAAAAAUCACGCAUCCUGGUUAUCGUGAGAGCGUCGAUGAGGAUGACAGAUGGAUGAACGUUCUUGGGCAAAUGCAUGCAGGAAGAGGGCUCAUCUUUGGGCAUCACUGUUCCUGUUUGAGCCAUGGUGUAUGCAUGUGGAUUAUUGUGAGUAUUAAUAUUUUGCUCAGGGCACAACGAAGUCAGUCAAACAAACCAUUUAUAAAUACUUCUGACACCUUUCAAAUCCAUCAUGGAUGAGCAGCCAAGAACUUCGUUGGAAGAGUCUCAUUUCAGGCUCAGCUCCACUAAAUCAACACCAAUGGGAUUUACAUGACUUGAAGGGACUCACUCAUUGCUGCAAACCAAGACGUGAUGUAUGAUGGUUGGAGCAAAUUUGGAGCUCCUCAAUGGAUUUGUUUGCAUAUGUUAACAAUCCUUGUCAAAUAAACCAUUUCAAAAGGUU
This is a long non-coding RNA of Tigriopus californicus, 563 nucleotides long. RefSeq lists it as uncharacterized. NCBI's taxonomy places the organism in Eukaryota, Metazoa, Arthropoda, Copepoda, Harpacticoida, Harpacticidae. The record is from RefSeq and is a predicted model, not a curated record. The transcript has 2 exons.